GGGCCGGUGGUCUAGCGGUAUGACGCCGCCCUUACGAGGCGGAGGUCGUGGGUUCAACUCCCACCCGGCCCACCA
This 75-nucleotide transfer RNA is filed under the name Nitrososphaeria archaeon. RNAcentral's name for it is "tRNA-Val". It matches the Rfam family "tRNA". From Rfam's summary of the family: Transfer RNA (tRNA) molecules are approximately 80 nucleotides in length. Their secondary structure includes four short double-helical elements and three loops (D, anti-codon, and T loops). The record is from RNAcentral. Lineage: Archaea; Thermoproteati; Nitrososphaerota; Nitrososphaeria.